CGUUGGUGCAGUCAUUGUAGAGGGUCUCGAAAUCNUAGAGGCUGUGGGUGGGGGGGUCUCUACCUUGCGUUGGUGCAGUCAUUGUAGAGGGUCUCGAAAUCCUUCCUGGAGAUGAGUUUGCAGCGGUUCACGCCGGGCUGGAUGGCCCCCAGCCCCCUCAGGAUCCGGACCUGCUCCACGUUGCACACCACGGGCGUGAUCUCCAGCCGCUUCAGCUUGGUGUAGACGGUGUGCAAGCCCCCGACCAAGUGCUUCAGGAAGAGGUCGAAAGCCUGGGGCAGGCAGAUGAGCUCGCAGCCCUCCACAGUGAAAGAGGCCACCUUGGCCCCCCUCAGAUCCACCAUCUUGCACUCAUUAUUCUGGGGGGUGUUCUCCACCGGGGACGGGGUCGAGUACACCGGCUUGCCCGGCAGGCUGCUGCUGUUAGCGGUGCUAGCGCUGGGGGUGGAGGUGCCGCCGCAGCCUGNGUGGAGGUGCCGCCGCUGCUGCUGCUGCUGGUGCCCAGGCUGGGGCUGCAAUUGUUGCCGCUGCCGCCUCCUCCGUUGCUGCUGCUGCUGCUGCCUCCUCCGCUGCUGGUGGUGGAGGUGACUGUGGCCGCCGCCGCCGCCGCUGCUGCUGCGAUGGGCUCCGGCCGGAAUAGGUUCGUCCCCGAAGAGCCUGGCGGGGGAGCGAUGGAAGAAGACGGAGACGAGGUGGCCGACGAGGUGGUGGUGGUGGUGCAGGCGGCAGAAGUUGAGAUCGGAGGUGGAGGGGGGACCAGCUGGGUCGGAGGGAUCAAAGCAGCCGGUAUAUCGAAGUUGUUGAAAACCCACUGCCCGGACUCGCUCUAUUAAUUUCCCUGUUUUCACUAUCUCAUACACAUUCUAUAGUCAUAAAACAUGCACCCGAGAAAGUUAAUACAGAGCCGAGCACGUGUGAUGUCACCAUUUCACUUCAACUUCUGAAUGAACUCUGAAUUAAUCCCCUCCAUCACCAAAAAUAUCCCUGCCAUAUCACCUGCUCUUUACCUACUCUACAGCAUGAUGGGCUCCUUCUUUUCUUCUAAUUGGGUACUUUCCCGGACAACCAUUGUGUUUCUAAACAGUUUAAAAAUCUGGUUUGUACGUGCUUACUACAACAGGUUUUGAUUAACGGUGAUGAUUUAAUGAAACGAUUGGAUUAGAAACCAACACAUUUAGGAAAGAGUUCAAGAAUCUUCAAAGCUUCUUGCUUGGUAAGUGUUUCAAACGAUUAAAUCAAACUACUGGAUUUAUUUUAACACAGACGAACACCAACAAAUAAUGAUAUUGCUCGUUUCCUCUUUUACACUUUUUUUUCCAAAUUGCAUUUUAAUUGCAAGUCGAUCCUUUAAGAAAUGAUAUUGUUAGACUUUAAUUCUCCAUUCCCACACCCUAGAAUGCAUAUCCGUAAAACUGAAAGUACUAUAACUGAUUUGAGAAUUCUCCGUGUCAAGUGAAGAUGUAUGGUGCUGAAAUCAAUAAGACUGCUUAAAAUUCAAAGACCUGCAAAUCGUUCUGUUUGUCCUUUGAUAGGGCCUGUGCUGAUUAAAAUGCGACCAAGAAAGCUUAAUUGCUGCACUAAUUAAGAAGUCUUUAAUUUCAUUCCUGGAAUAUUGUUUGAAGCAGGGCUUCUCUUGUGCUCACAUAACUGUUCAGGGCAGGUACUCUCUUUUUUCCUUUGACCAUUUCGAUAAAUGAGAAUGUGCAUUGAAACAAUAAGAUGAAUAGAUAGUUAUAAUAAUUUAUUGCUUUAAAAAAUCAGCACCUGCUCCUGAGUUCACUAUUUUAUUAAAUCCAGUUUUGCGGGCAGCUGUAACAUGUAAAAUGCAAUUAA
This 1833-nucleotide long non-coding RNA is filed under the name Gopherus agassizii (Agassiz's desert tortoise). RNAcentral's name for it is "lncRNA (ENSGAGG00000015393.1)". Lineage: Eukaryota; Metazoa; Chordata; Testudines; Testudinidae. The record is from RNAcentral.